This 376-nucleotide ribosomal RNA is filed under the name uncultured bacterium. RNAcentral describes it as "bacterial SSU rRNA". It matches the Rfam family "Bacterial small subunit ribosomal RNA", at positions 523 to 898 of the family's 1533-position model. The record is from RNAcentral.
AUACGUAGGUGGCAAGCGUUGUCCGGAAUUAUUGGGCGUAAAGAGCAUGUAGGCGGGCUUUUAAGUCCGGCGUGAAAAUGCGGGGCUCAACCCCGUAUGGCGUUGGAAACUGGAAGUCUUGAGUGCAGGAGAGGAAAGGGGAAUUCCCAGUGUAGCGGUGAAAUGCGUAGAUAUUGGGAGGAACACCAGUGGCGAAGGCGCCUUUCUGGACUGUGUCUGACGCUCAGAUGCGAAAGCCAGGGUAGCAAACGGGAUUAGAUACCCCGGUAGUCCUGGCCGUAAACGAUGGGUACUAGGUGUAGGAGGUAUCGACCCCUUCUGUGCCGGAGUUAACGCAAUAAGUACCCCGCCUGGGGACUACGAUCGCAAGAUUGAA